GUGAAUCAUCGAAUUUUUGAACGCAAAUUGCACUCUCUGCGAUUCCGGAGCGUGUUCGUGUUUGAGGCUCUGUAUAAUCGACAUCGGAGCGGUGCUUUUUGGGUGACGCACCGGAGUUUGGGUCACCUUAACUCUUUUUUUUUAAGGACCUAAAAUUAACAUUCUUUUUUGCUUACCUUUGAGUCGUACAUAUUUUUUUUUUCUUCGUCUACAU
Molecule: unclassified non-coding RNA, 214 nt
Filed under: Rhizophagus clarus
Lineage: Eukaryota; Fungi; Glomeromycota; Glomeromycetes; Glomerales; Glomeraceae
Description: partial internal transcribed spacer 2
Source: RNAcentral